CCCAGCUUGAACAAUAAAACUUCCAUGUUAAAUCUGUUGUGACAAUCAAUUGUACAAUGUUCACCAGCAUGAUCAUCACCCAUUGUUGUGAGUGGGAACACAAAAUUUGAGCAGCAUAUACCAGAUUGCAUAUUAAUUUCAGGAUCGCAUUCUAAGUUUCAGUCACCUUCAAAUUUUACUGCUAGACCAGGUCGUCAUUGCAACAACUCCGUACUCAAAUGUUUUAAACCAAUAUGCUGGCGCUAUGCAUUUUCAUGGCAUUGUGAAUAUAUAUCCUUCUUAAACUUUGCAACACAGAAAAAUCUUAAAGCAAGUGGAAUCAGCUGCUGACUCAAGUGGAUUAAACUAGUAACAAGGUCAUC
Molecule: unclassified non-coding RNA, 362 nt
Filed under: Hevea brasiliensis (rubber tree)
Lineage: Eukaryota; Viridiplantae; Streptophyta; Magnoliopsida; Malpighiales; Euphorbiaceae
Source: RNAcentral